Molecule: long non-coding RNA, 102 nt
Organism: Aricia agestis (brown argus)
Lineage: Eukaryota; Metazoa; Arthropoda; Insecta; Lepidoptera; Lycaenidae
Exons: 3
Source: RefSeq, a predicted model, not a curated record
AUCCAAAAUCCAUCUUGAGUCAAGCACCCGUCUUUUUGUCGAUUUCCGGCUACUUACCUCCUUCCACGUACGCCAGAUGGCGCUAGUGUGCCCAAAAUAAAC